This 253-nucleotide ribosomal RNA is filed under the name uncultured bacterium. RNAcentral describes it as "partial 16S ribosomal RNA". It matches the Rfam family "Bacterial small subunit ribosomal RNA", at positions 524 to 776 of the family's 1533-position model. The record is from RNAcentral.
UACGUAGGGGGCUAGCGUUGUCCGGAAUCAUUGGGCGUAAAGCGCGUGUAGGCGGUCCGGUAAGUCCGCUGUGAAAGUCGAGGGCUCAACCCUCGAAUGCCGGUGGAUACUGUCGGGCUAGAGUGCGGAAGAGGCGAGUGGAAUUCCUGGUGUAGCGGUGAAAUGCGUAGAGAUGUGGAGGAACACCGAUGGCGAAGGCAGCCUCCUGGGCCAACACUGACGCUCAUGCACGAAAGCGUGGGGAGCAAACAGG